This 87-nucleotide transfer RNA is filed under the name Candidatus Lloydbacteria bacterium RIFOXYC12_FULL_46_25. RNAcentral describes it as "tRNA-Tyr". It matches the Rfam family "tRNA". From Rfam's summary of the family: Transfer RNA (tRNA) molecules are approximately 80 nucleotides in length. Their secondary structure includes four short double-helical elements and three loops (D, anti-codon, and T loops). Lineage: Bacteria; Candidatus Lloydiibacteriota. The record is from RNAcentral.
GCGUAGGUGGCGGAGCGGUCAAUCGCAACAGACUGUAAAUCUGUCGCCCACUGGGCUACGCAGGUUCGAAUCCUGCCCUACGCACUA